This 4013-nucleotide long non-coding RNA is filed under the name Nicotiana benthamiana. RNAcentral's name for it is "long non-coding RNA (NBEN_LNC025167)". Lineage: Eukaryota; Viridiplantae; Streptophyta; Magnoliopsida; Solanales; Solanaceae. The record is from RNAcentral.
GGAAUUUAGGGCAAUGGCCUCUUCUUGCUGCUGCUUUGGCAAUUUGCUUUGUAGCCAACAUUGUUUUUGCUGAUUACACUUAUGGGUAUAUUUCUACCUCAUCUUCUUACAUUUCUUACGUUUUACAAAUCACCAUCUUCACCCAAGUAUCAUGUACCUACUCCUUUCUACAAGUCACCUGCUUCAGCAAUACACUACUACAAGUCACUAGUUCCCGUAAAAUAUUACAAGCGCCAGUUCCCGUAAAAUACUAAAAGUCACCAGCUUCAGUAAAAUACUACAAGGUGCCAGCUCCUGCAAAAUAAUACAAGUCACCAGCUCCUACUAAAUACUACAAGUCGCCAGUUCCCACAAAAUACUACAUAUCGCCAGCUCCCGCUAAAUACUACAAAUCACUAGCUCCUUCAAAGGACUACUACAAGUUGCCAGCUCCCGCUAAAUACUACAAGUUGCCAACUACUCCAAAAUACUACAAGUCGCCAGCUCCUUCAAAGAGCUACUCACCGUACUAUAAAGCAUCUACACCUUCCUAUAAAUCUCCUCCACCCUCACCAAAAUACUACGAGCAAUCACCAUCUUCUUACAAAUCUCCACCUCCACCGUACUAUAAAGAAUCUACACCUUCCUAUAAAUCUCCUCCACCUCCACCAAAAUACUACGAGCAAUCGCCUAAUACUUACAAUUUGCCUAUGAAUAAUCACCCAAAUUAAAUCUCCUCCACCCUCACCAAAAUACUACGAGCAAUCACCAUCUUCUUACAAAUCUCCACCUCCACCGUACUAUAAAGAAUCUACACCUUCCUAUAAAUCUCCUCCACCGCCACCAAAAUACUACGAGCAAUCACCUAUUACUUACGACUUGCCAUCUUUGCCAAAGAUCUAUGAAAAAUCACCAUCUUAUUACUCACCUCCACCACCAGCGAACUAUUUCAAGCAAACUCCCACCUAUGCCUCACCUCCACCACCUGAAAGGUACGAGCAAUCUGCUACCUAUGCUUCACCUCCACCCCCAUCAGCAUCUCCUCCACCAACGUAUUACUGAUAUUAACUAUUCAAUCACUUUCCGCUGUUUCCAUGACUUCUAAUUCCUUUUUGUCCUCUUAUCAUUAGCAGCUCCAUUUCGUCCGCCAAAAUUUGAUGUAUGCUACUAUUUCCAUGACUUCUAAUUCCAUUUUGUCCUCUUAUCAUUAGCAGCUCCGUUUCCUCCGCCAAAAUUUGAUGUAUGCUUCUCGAAAUGAUUGGCUUUUGCUUAUUUGUCUUCAGUGUUCUAUUUUAAUAGUUUGUAUUAUGUAUUUAUUUGGGAUUUAUGAAAGAUCCUCAAGAUCUCCAUCAAUUCUUCUCACUAUAUCGAGAUUUUGUGCAUUCUACUUUUCUUAAUUUGUUUUAACAGUUUCUAAAAAUGUAAGAAAAUAAUUGAAAGGCUAAAAUGGCACACUUCUAAAAUUUGAAUAUUUGACAUAGUGUAUUAAAAGACGGGGACACAAGCCGAGAUAUAAAUUUUGAGACAUGGCGUGUAAGCCCUUGAUUCUUUUUAAUUUUGACAAUUUUUUAGUUUCAAUAACUUUGUAUAAUACCAUGAUAUAUAAUCAACUACAAUGUCCUAACAAUGCAAGCAUAAAAAAAAAACAAGAAUUAUCUUUGAAACAAAGUGUGAUGUACGUAUGGAGAUGUAAAUGAGUCGAGCAACACUUUCUUCAUGCUACUAAUUCAAAAAUUUCUCCUUUUUAAUGACAAAUUGGUACGAGUCUGUUUGCACAUAUCUUGACUAUUUCGCUGUAUAUCUAAGGGACAGAUUUAUAGUUCAGAUUAUGGGGCACAUAAAUCUAUGGUCUCUUUGUCAAACUCGAUAUUUUAUGUAUGUGUUUUCUAGAAUUGGUCUUAUAUUAUCUGCUCACCUUUAUACUCCAAAAGAAUGUAUAAUGUAUUUGGUGGAAUAAUGAGUUCAAAAAUGUUAGAUAGUUCAGAAAUGGUCACUUAGAUUAAGUAUGUGUUUUCUAGAAUUGGUCUUAUAUUAUCUGCUCACCUUUAUACUCCAAAAGAAUGUAUAAUGUAUUUGGUGGAAUAAUGAGUUCAAAAAUGUUAGAUAGUUCAGAAAUGGUCACUUAGCCUUACAGAAAUAAUUACAAUUACAUAAUUCAACUCCAGCACGAUGUGCUUUCAAUUGGUUAAUAAAUUAACAAACAACUUACAAUAGUAUGAUUCGUCAAUAAAAGAGAAAACUUUUGAUAUAGUUGUUUGUAAAUUGUUAUUUUCUAACACUUAUAGUUUUCACACCCCCAUGAAAUGCAAAGGGCACUAUUAUUAUCAACCGGGAAUAGAGUAAUUAAAAGAGACACCCCCAUGAAAUGCAAAGGGCACUAAUAUUAUCAACCGGGAAUAGAGUAAUAAAAAGAACAGAACUUGAAGAAAAAAAUAGGCUGUAAUUUUGAAGACCUUGCAAAAGUUUAGCCAUAACUAUUUUUUCCUGAUGAAAGGUUACGUUCCCUCAAAAUUCAGCAAAAAUUGGACGGGGCGCCCAUUUUUAACUUGUAGUUGCUUUAUUUUUUUGUUUGUACCCGUACCCACUUUUUGAAAAACUUCAGCUUUCCUUUCUCCUUCCCUUCUUCUCUAAAAAUUUCAGCUCUAGAGCUGAUGUUUUCCAGUUACAACAAAAAAACCUUUAGCUCUAGUCUCAAUCUCUGCAAUAUAAUGCAUGUCAUAUAUUCUUCUUCUUCUUCUUCUUCUUCUUCUUCUUCUUCGAGUUUCAAUCUGAAAUUCAGUCAAAANNNNNNNNNNNNNNNNNNNNNNNNNNNNNNNNNNNNNNNNNNNNNNNNNNNNUUCAAUCUGAAAUUCAGUCAAAAUCAAGUCUAAUCUUCACCAAAAUCCCUCAAAAUUGAGAUAUAAACUCCAAAUCAUAUUCUCGAUUAUUUUCAACAGCACAAAUCCAAACAAAUAAUAAUUUUUGAAAACUCAAAUUUGAAUUCAAAACUUUCAAGUUUUUUAAUGGCUGUCAAUGGUGGAAUUGCUGCUCUCUUUUCAUCUGCUUUGUAUUACUGAAAUUUGAGAUUAAGAGAUAGAGAGAGAUGUAGAGAUACUUCUUAAAACAGAGUGAAUCACAAAAACAGAGUAUGGAAAAUCUUGUUCUGUGUUGUGGAAGAUCAGAGUGAAGCCGUAAUUAUGGAAUGUUCUUGAUCUUCUUUGUGGAAGAUCUUGAAGAAUAUUUGAUUCCCCAAUUUUAGCGCGCCCAAAUAAGGAAUCCUACAGCUACGAUGAUUACUUAUUUAAUGCAUUAGAUUCCCCAAUUUUAGCGCGCCUAAAUAAGGAAUCCUACAGCUACGAUGAUUACUUAUUUAAUGCAUUAUCUAUAUUUUGUCGGAAUACUAUUAUCAUGAAGGGUCGCAAACUAUGAACGUAUUUGGUAAUAUAGUUUCCUAUAUGGUAUAGGAACGAAAAUUUUCCAAUUGAAAAGUAGUCACAGUUUUAAAAAUAAUCCAAAUUUAGUCACUUUUCAUGUAAAGACAAAUUUGAACGAAAAUACUAAGCAGAAUCAAGAAAAUAUUCUAGAAUAAUAUACUGGUCCAGCAUAAUAUGCUGAGAGUUCAUAGACAUGUGCUCUAAUUUCUAGUAUAUUAUGCCGGAACUUUCCCUGUGGUGGAGUUCCAGCAACAUAUGCUGGAAGUUUAUACACAUAUGCACCAAUUUAUAUUAUGCUGGAAUUUUUCGUGUUUCAGCUAUGCCACACAAGUCUUAGUUCUAAACUUCUCUUGUCCCAAUAUAGUUCCAAAAUGAGAAGCUUUGGGAAUUUAGGGCAAUGGCCUCUUCUUGCUGCUGCUUUGGCAAUUUGCUUUGUAGCCAACAUUGUAUUUGCUGAUUACUCUUAUGGGUAUAUUUCUACCUCAUCUUCUUACAUUUCUUACGUUUUACAAAUCACCAUCUUCACCCAAGUAUCAUGUACCUACUCUUACUACAAGUCACCUGCUUCAGCAAUACACUACUACAAGUCAUUAGUUCCCGUAAAAUAUUACAAGCGCCAGC